AUUGCCUUAGAAUUACCAGAAGGUGGACUAAAUCAUUACACCGUUUGGUUCAGACAGAGGCAUAUAUUAAUUAAUCCGAAUCAGUUUGAGGGUAAGGAAACUUUAUCUCCUUGUUCCUUUCUCUGUGUUCUUUCUUAGAUUGAUUUGGACAUUC
Tripterygium wilfordii is the source of this 154-nucleotide small nucleolar RNA. RefSeq annotates it as small nucleolar RNA snoR138. The record is from RefSeq and is a predicted model, not a curated record. The transcript has a single exon. NCBI's taxonomy places the organism in Eukaryota, Viridiplantae, Streptophyta, Magnoliopsida, Celastrales, Celastraceae.